CAUCUUCCAAGGGGAAGAAAACUGUCGACCAGUGAGCGCGUCUCGAGGCGAGACGACUGGUUCUAUAACGGACUUCAGUCCGACACUGCAGUGUGGGGUUCCCCGGUCCGGCCUAAUGGGAGGCGGCGUGGUUAACCCUGAGUUUAUCCUGAUCAAGAGGUGCACGGAGCCAUUGACAAGGGGUUUUUUAUGUGAGAUACCCAGGGUCACCACACGAGAAUCUUAGUAGCCAACACCAAGGAAGCCAGUAUUGUGAAUUUUAACAGUCUUAAAACAUCUUGGUGGUCCCGUAGCUAGUUGCGGCCAUGAUUAGCUUGGGAAUUGUUUGAGGCCAGACUGUAUUUUGAGCGGUGCUCAAUGUGUUGGAAAUGUUACCUACCUGUAUUAUUUUUGAAUCAUUGUGUUAUGUGUUAACUUGUUGGAUACUUGGAACUACUGUUAUAUGUUAUUAUUAUUGUGGUUACUACUAUUUGGAAUA
Dioscorea cayenensis subsp. rotundata (Guinea yam) is the source of this 478-nucleotide long non-coding RNA. RefSeq lists it as uncharacterized. NCBI's taxonomy places the organism in Eukaryota, Viridiplantae, Streptophyta, Magnoliopsida, Dioscoreales, Dioscoreaceae. The record is from RefSeq and is a predicted model, not a curated record. The transcript has 2 exons.